This 402-nucleotide ribosomal RNA is filed under the name uncultured bacterium. Its description in RNAcentral is "bacterial SSU rRNA". It matches the Rfam family "Bacterial small subunit ribosomal RNA", at positions 362 to 758 of the family's 1533-position model. The record is from RNAcentral.
UAUUGGACAAUGGGCGCAAGCCUGAUCCAGCAAUACCGCGUGUGUGAAGAAGGCCUUAGGGUUGUAAAGCACUUUCAAUCGGGAGGAAAACCUGCCGGUCAAUACCCGGUAGCUUGACAUUACCUUUAGAAGAAGCACCGGCUAACUCCGUGCCAGCAGCCGCGGUAAUACGGAGGGUGCGAGCGUUAAUCGGAAUUACUGGGCGUAAAGCGUGCGUAGGCGGUUCGUUAAGUCAGAUGUGAAAGCCCUGGGCUCAACCUGGGAACUGCAUUUGAAACUGGCGGACUAAAGUUUAGUAGAGGGGAGUGGAAUUUCAGGUGUAGCGGUGAAAUGCGUAGAUAUUUGAAGGAACACCAGUGGCGAAGGCGACUCCCUGGACUAGAACUGACGCUGAGUACGAAA